This 320-nucleotide long non-coding RNA is filed under the name Nicotiana benthamiana. Its description in RNAcentral is "long non-coding RNA (NBEN_LNC023483)". Lineage: Eukaryota; Viridiplantae; Streptophyta; Magnoliopsida; Solanales; Solanaceae. The record is from RNAcentral.
GGGCGCUACAUUCGUGUUAUGAUUGUAGGUGGAUCCGUGUCAGGCACUCCAGUCCACCGUUCGUAGCUCCUCCUCCUCUUUGUCGGUGGUAAUUGUGUUGGUGAGCCCCUUUCCUUCCGGGGCCUUGUGUGGUUCAUGCCAGUUAUGUUAUUGUAUUUUGGAGUCUUGUGUCCUUUUGUAAAGGUAUAGCUAGGGCCUUGUCACUGGCAAGUGUUGUACUAUCUUUCUCUUAGAGGCCCCGUAGACAGUGGUAUGUCAGUUAGAACUUAUGUAUAAAGGUGUAUGUUUUGGGCGCUAUAAAACUUGUACACCAUGUUCCC